GGUUAAGUUAGAAAGGGCGCACGGUGGAUGCCUUGGCACUAGGAGCCGAAGAAGGACGGGACUAACACCGAUAUGCUUUGGGGAGCUGUACGUAAGCGUUGAUCCAGAGAUUUCCGAAUGGGGGAACCCACUAUCUUUAGUCGGAUAGUAUCCUUACGUGAAUACAUAGCGUGAGGAAGGCAGACCCAGGGAACUGAAACAUCUAAGUACCUGGAGGAAGAGAAAGAAAAAUCGAUUUCCUGAGUAGCGGCGAGCGAAACGGAAAGAGCCCAAACCAAGAAGCUUGCUUCUUGGGGUUGUAGGACACUCUAUACGGAGUUACAAAAGAAAGUUAUAAAUGAAGCGGUCUGGAAAGGCCCGCCAAAGACGGUAACAGCCCGGUAGUUGAAAUAGCUUUCCCUCCAGAGUGGAUCCUGAGUACGGCGGAACACGUGAAAUUCCGUCGGAAUCCGGGAGGACCAUCUCCCAAGGCUAAAUACUCCCUAGUGACCGAUAGUGAACCAGUACCGUGAGGGAAAGGUGAAAAGCACCCCGGAAGGGGAGUGAAACAGUUCCUGAAACCGUGUGCCUACAAGUAGUUAGAGCCCGUUAAUGGGUGAUAGCGUGCCUUUUGUAGAAUGAACCGGCGAGUUACGAUUUGUUGCAAGGUUAAGCGGAAAAAGCGGAGCCGUAGCGAAAGCGAGUCUGAAUAGGGCGCAUAAGUAACAGGUCGUAGACCCGAAACCAGGUGAUCUACCCAUGUCCAGGAUGAAGGUAAGGUAAUACUUACUGGAGGUCCGAACCCACGCACGUUGAAAAGUGCGGGGAUGAGGUGUGGGUAGCGGAGAAAUUCCAAUCGAACUUGGAGAUAGCUGGUUCUCUCCGAAAUAGCUUUAGGGCUAGCCUCGAGGUAAAGAGUCAUGGAGGUAGAGCACUGUUUGGACUAGGGGCCCUUCUCGGGUUACCGAAUUCAGAUAAACUCCGAAUGCCAUGUACUUAUACUCGGGAGUCAGACUGCGAGUGAUAAGAUCCGUAGUCGAAAGGGAAACAGCCCAGACCACCAGUUAAGGUCCCCAAAUAUAUGUUAAGUGGAAAAGGAUGUGGGGUUGCUUAGACAACCAGGAUGUUGGCUUAGAAGCAGCCACCAUUGAAAGAGUGCGUAAUAGCUCACUGGUCGAGUGACCCCGCGCCGAAAAUGUACCGGGGCUAAACAUAUUACCGAAACUGUGGAUGAACCUCUUUAGAGGUUCGUGGUAGGAGAGCGUUCUAAGGGCGGUGAAGUCAGACCGGAAGGACUGGUGGAGCGCUUAGAAGUGAGA
Molecule: ribosomal RNA, 1298 nt
Filed under: Listeria monocytogenes
Lineage: Bacteria; Bacillati; Bacillota; Bacilli; Caryophanales; Listeriaceae
Description: partial 23S ribosomal RNA
Rfam family: Bacterial large subunit ribosomal RNA
Source: RNAcentral